This 33-nucleotide small RNA is filed under the name Bombyx mori (domestic silkworm). RNAcentral describes it as "ovarian small RNA-38257". Lineage: Eukaryota; Metazoa; Arthropoda; Insecta; Lepidoptera; Bombycidae. The record is from RNAcentral.
UUUAUGGAACACAUGGAUUGGCUCAGUGCCAAC